UGGGGAAUCUUGCGCAAUGGGCGAAAGCCUGACGCAGCAACGCCGCGUGGGGGAUGAAUGCCUUCGGGUUGUAAACCCCUUUCAGCAGGGACGAAACUGACGUUACCUGCAGAAGAAGCCCCGGCCAACUACGUGCCAGCAGCCGCGGUAAUACGUAGGGGGCAAGCGUUGUCCGGAUUCAUUGGGCGUAAAGGGCGCGUAGGCGGCUUAGCAAGUCGGAUGUGAAAGCUCCAGGCUCAACCUGGAGAUGCCACCCGAGACUGCUAUGGCUAGAGUCCGGUAGGGGACCACGGAAUACCUGGUGUAGCGGUGAAAUGCGCAGAUAUCAGGUGGAACACCGGUGGCGAAGGCGGUGGUCUGGGCCGGCACUGACGCUGAUGCGCGAAAGCGUGGGUAGCGAACAGG
RNAcentral lists this ribosomal RNA (405 nucleotides) under uncultured bacterium. RNAcentral's name for it is "bacterial SSU rRNA". It matches the Rfam family "Bacterial small subunit ribosomal RNA", at positions 355 to 776 of the family's 1533-position model. The record is from RNAcentral.